RNAcentral lists this ribosomal RNA (253 nucleotides) under uncultured bacterium. Its description in RNAcentral is "partial 16S ribosomal RNA". It matches the Rfam family "Bacterial small subunit ribosomal RNA", at positions 524 to 776 of the family's 1533-position model. The record is from RNAcentral.
UACGUAGGGGGCGAGCGUUGUCCGGAAUCAUUGGGCGUAAAGAGCGUGUAGGCGGCUUGGCAAGUCUGACGUGAAAGCCCGCGGCUCAACCGCGGAUUGUCGUUGGAAACUGCCUCGCUAGAGUCCGGAAGAGGAGAGCGGAAUUCCUGGUGUAGCGGUGGAAUGCGCAGAUAUCAGGAAGAACACCCGUGGCGAAGGCGGCUCUCUGGGACGGUACUGACGCUGAGACGCGAAAGCGUGGGGAGCGAGCAGG